GUCGAAGAAGGGCCUGAUUACUGUGUGAUCACCCCACCCGAGAGGGUGAAUAUGGCAGCAAUCGAUACAUAUGAUGAUCACAGGAUGGCGAUGGCAUUUUCGCUCGCUGCCUGUGCAGAUGUUGCAAUCACAAUUAAGGACCCUGGUUGCACACGGAAAACUUUUCCCGACUAUUUUGAAGUCCUCGAGAGAUUUACAAAGCACUGACAUGGUGUCGGAUGACUGAAUUGUUGCUGAAGUUUAGGCAGCGGAGAAGGGUUCUCAUUCCCUGUGCGAGCGGAAAUACUUCUUGUG
RNAcentral lists this unclassified non-coding RNA (294 nucleotides) under Hevea brasiliensis (rubber tree). The record is from RNAcentral. Lineage: Eukaryota; Viridiplantae; Streptophyta; Magnoliopsida; Malpighiales; Euphorbiaceae.